GACGAACGCUGGCGGCGUGCUUAACACAUGCAAGUCGAACGGAAAGGCCCUGCUUUUGUGGGGUGCUCGAGUGGCGAACGGGUGAGUAACACGUGAGUAACCUGCCCUUGACUUUGGGAUAACUUCAGGAAACUGGGGCUAAUACCGGAUAGGAGCUCCUGCUGCAUGGUGGGGGUUGGAAAGUUUCGGCGGUUGGGGAUGGACUCGCGGCUUAUCAGCUUGUUGGUGGGGUAGUGGCUUACCAAGGCUUUGACGGGUAGCCGGCCUGAGAGGGUGACCGGCCACAUUGGGACUGAGAUACGGCCCAGGCUCCUACGGGAGGCAGCAGUGGGGAAUAUUGCACAAUGGGCGGAAGCCUGAUGCAGCAACGCCGCGUGCGGGAUGACGGCCUUCGGGUUGUAAACCGCUUUCGCCUGUGACGAAGCGUGAGUGACGGUAAUGGGUAAAGAAGCACCGGCUAACUACGUGCCAGCAGCCGCGGUGAUACGUAGGGUGCGAGCGUUGUCCGGAUUUAUUGGGCGUAAAGGGCUCGUAGGUGGUUGAUCGCGUCGGAAGUGUAAUCUUGGGGCUUAACCCUGAGCGUGCUUUCGAUACGGGUUGACUUGAGGAAGGUAGGGGAGAAUGGAAUUCCUGGUGGAGCGGUGGAAUGCGCAGAUAUCAGGAGGAACACCAGUGGCGAAGGCGGUUCUCUGGGCCUUUCCUGACGCUGAGGAGCGAAAGCGUGGGGAGCGAACAGGCUUAGAUACCCUGGUAGUCCACGCUGUAAACGGUGGGUACUAGGUGUGGGGUCCAUUCCACGGGUUCCGUGCCGUAGCUAACGCUUUAAGUACCCCGCCUGGGGAGUACGGCCGCAAGGCUAAAACUCAAAGGAAUUGACGGGGCCCCGCACAAGCGGCGGAGCAUGCGGAUUAAUUCGAUGCAACGCGUAGAACCUUACCUGGGUUUGACAUGGAUCGGGAGUGCUCAGAGAUGGGUGUGCCUCUUUUGGGGUCGGUUCACAGGUGGUGCAUGGCUGUCGUCAGCUCGUGUCGUGAGAUGUUGGGUUAAGUCCCGCAACGAGCGCAACCCUUGUUCACUGUUGCCAGCACGUUAUGGUGGGGACUCAGUGGAGACCGCCGGGGUCAACUCGGAGGAAGGUGGGGAUGACGUCAAGUCAUCAUGCCCCUUAUGUCCAGGGCUUCACGCAUGCUACAAUGGCUGGUACAGAGAGUGGCGAGCCUGUGAGGGUGAGCGAAUCUCGGAAAGCCGGUCUCAGUCCGGAUUGGGGUCUGCAACUCGACCUCAUGAAGUCGGAGUCGCUAGUAAUCGCAGAUCAGCAACGCUGCGGUGAAUACGUUCCCGGG
RNAcentral lists this ribosomal RNA (1343 nucleotides) under uncultured bacterium. RNAcentral describes it as "16S ribosomal RNA". It matches the Rfam family "Bacterial small subunit ribosomal RNA", at positions 28 to 1378 of the family's 1533-position model. The record is from RNAcentral.